CGGGGUUUGACAUGUUCAGGAAAGGCCUGGAGACAGGUCCCCUCUUCGGAGUCUGAGCACAGGUGCUGCAUGGCUGUCGUCAGCUCGUGCCGUGAGGUGUUGGGUUAAGUCCCGCAACGAGCGCAACCCUCGUCGCUAGUUGCAUGUUUCUAGCGAGACCGCUGCGCAAAACGCAGAGGAAGGUGGGGAUGACGUCAAGUCAUCAUGGCCUUUAUGCCCCGGGCUACACACACGCUACAUCCGUUUCGGUACAGACGGUUGCGAAGCCGCGAGGUGGAGCUAAUCCGAGAAAGCCGUCCUCAGUUCAGAUUGCAGGCUGCAACUCGCCUGCAUGAAGACGGAGUUGCUAGUAACCGCAGGUCAGCACACUGCGGUGAAUACGUUCCC
This 387-nucleotide ribosomal RNA is filed under the name uncultured bacterium. RNAcentral's name for it is "bacterial SSU rRNA". It matches the Rfam family "Bacterial small subunit ribosomal RNA", at positions 975 to 1375 of the family's 1533-position model. The record is from RNAcentral.